This 468-nucleotide ribosomal RNA is filed under the name uncultured bacterium. Its description in RNAcentral is "partial 16S ribosomal RNA". It matches the Rfam family "Bacterial small subunit ribosomal RNA", at positions 28 to 507 of the family's 1533-position model. The record is from RNAcentral.
GACGAACGCUGGCGGCGUGCUUAACACAUGCAAGUCGAACGGAAAGGCCCUGCUUUUGUGGGGUGCUCGAGUGGCGAACGGGUGAGUAACACGUGAGUAACCUGCCCUUGACUUUGGGAUAACUUCAGGAAACUGGGGCUAAUACCGGAUAGGAGCUCCUGCUGCAUGGUGGGGGUUGGAAAGUUUCGGCGGUUGGGGAUGGACUCGCGGCUUAUCAGCUUGUUGGUGGGGUAGUGGCUUACCAAGGCUUUGACGGGUAGCCGGCCUGAGAGGGUGACCGGCCACAUUGGGACUGAGAUACGGCCCAGACUCCUACGGGAGGCAGCAGUGGGGAAUAUUGCACAAUGGGCGGAAGCCUGAUGCAGCAACGCCGGGUGCGGGAUGACGGCCUUCGGGUGGUAAACCGCUUUCGCCUGUGACGAAGCGUGAGUGACGGUAAUGGGUAAAGAAGCACCGGCUAACUACGUG